AGCUUCUUCACGGCAGAUUGUUUCCAUUUCACUGUGAAGGGACAUGAGGAACUGGCAAAGGGGCUGUGGAACAACAUGUUCCAGCCAGAGGGAGGGAAAGAAAUGAUACACACAUUUGCAGAGCCGGUACAACUCAUCUGCCCACCAAAGGGGCAUCCUUACAUCUACACCAGACCCUGAGAAUCAUCUGCACCGGCACUGAAACAUUUCUCCAUGAUGCUGACAUCUCUGCUUUCUCUGUUUGUCCUCACUGCCUGGGUUGGUUUAAGCCCUGC
Molecule: long non-coding RNA, 275 nt
Organism: Monopterus albus (swamp eel)
Lineage: Eukaryota; Metazoa; Chordata; Actinopteri; Synbranchiformes; Synbranchidae
Exons: 3
Source: RefSeq, a predicted model, not a curated record